RNAcentral lists this ribosomal RNA (1430 nucleotides) under metagenome. RNAcentral describes it as "SSU rRNA". It matches the Rfam family "Eukaryotic small subunit ribosomal RNA", at positions 370 to 1801 of the family's 1831-position model. The record is from RNAcentral.
UAAGGGUUCGAUUCCGGAGAGGGAGCCUGAGAAAUGGCUACCACUUCCAAGGAAGGCAGCAGGCGCGCAAAUUCCCCAAUCCUGAUUCGGGGAGGUAGUGACAAGAAAUACCAUUAUAGGACGCUAUGCGUACUAUAUUUGGAAUGAGUACAAUUUAAACACCUUAACGAGGAACAACUAGAGGACAAGUCUGGUGCCAGCACCCGCGGUAAUUCCAGCUCUAGUAGUGUAUGUUGAAGUUGCUGCAGUUAAAAAGCUCGUAGUUGGAUUUCGGAAUGUGGAAGUCAAAGUCCGUCUCAACGGCGUGGCUCGAUUUCCGCUUCCUAUCUUUGGGUAAUGGCCCUCUUCCUUCACGGGUUGGGGUGUCCGUUCCCAAUCAUUUACUUUGAAAAAAUUCGCGCGCUCAAAGCAGGCGUAACUUGCUAUGAAGAGUACAGCAUGGGAUAAUAGAAUACGACUUCGGUCUUAUUUUGUUGGUUUCUAAGGCUGACGUAAUGAUUAAUAGGGAUAGUUGGGGCCGCUUGUAUUCAGUGGCUAGAGGUGAAAUUCUAGGAUUCACUGAAGACAAACUACUGCGAAAGCAUUCGGCAAGGAUGUUUUCAUUAAUCAAGAACGAAAGUUGGGGGAUCGAAGAUGAUCAGAUACCGUCGUAGUCUCAACUAUAAACGAUGUGAACCAAGGAUCCGGUUUAGAUGAUGGAUGUCUUUCCGGGCACUGUGUGAGAAAUCAGAGUAUUUGCAUUCCGGGGGGAGUAUGGUCGCAAGGCUGAAACUUAAAGGAAUUGACGGAAGGGCACCACCAGGAGUGGAACCUGCGGCUUAAUUUGACCCAACACGGGGAAACUUACCAGGUCCGGACACUUGAAGGAUUGACAGAUUGAAAGCUCUUUCUUGAUUAAGUGAGUGGUGGUGCAUGGCCGUUUUUAGUUGGUGGAGUGAUUUGUCUGGUUAAUUCCGUUAACGAACGAGACCUUAACCUAUUAAUUAGUUACGCGAACUUGGGCUUCGGCCCUUUCGGUUCGUGGACAACUUCUUAGAGGGACUCUCGGCAUUUAUAGCCGAUGGAAGUUUGAGGCAAAAACAGGUCUGUGAUGCCCUUCGAUGCCCUGGGCCGCACGCGCGUUACACUGACUAUUUCAACAAGUUCUUCCUUAUCAGAAGUUGAUUAGGUAAGCUGAAAAGGUAGUCGUGAUGGGGAUUGAACAUUGCAAUUAUUGUUCAUGGACGAGGAAUUCCUUGUAGGCGUAGUUCAUCAGACUACGCCGAAUACGUCCCUGCCCUUUGUACACACCGCCCGUCGCUCCUACCGAUUGGAGGCUUCGGUGAGAACUCAGGACGACAGCAUUUUAGCUUAUCAGAAAUGGUAAGCGGAUGCAGUCGGAAUUUGUUCAAACCUCAGUUUCUAGAGGAAGGAGAAGUCGUAACAAGGUU